Long non-coding RNA from Apis mellifera (honey bee), 999 nucleotides. RefSeq lists it as uncharacterized. The transcript is spliced from 2 exons. The record is from RefSeq and is a predicted model, not a curated record. NCBI's taxonomy places the organism in Eukaryota, Metazoa, Arthropoda, Insecta, Hymenoptera, Apidae.
AAUAUAAAUCAUGACGCAGUACACGGGACAAUUAGUUCCAGUAAAACUUAAGUAUUUAUCCAAGGAAUGAUUCAUUUUGUUUCAGUGGAAGGAAGAGGUAGCAUAUAAAUACAUACGUUGAACGGUUUAUCCAACGGCUAAGAAAUUGAGAAUAACUGACAAGUAUAUAAAGCUUAAGUGGUUAUUAGUUGUGAUCUUUGAUCUUGAUUCAUUUUAUCGUGGCAAUACACUUCGCUACACAGCUUCCAUAGCAGUUUUCUACCGUCUCUCUGACAGAAGCUAUCACAUCUUUUUCCUUUUUCAACGGCUCCACGCCUAAACGAUCGCAUCAUGUCUCGACCACUCUUACUAAUUUUUCUCUUCGUUUGCGUAGUCUUUAUUUCUCAGGCUAAUCCUUUACCCCAAGAUGCGGAACAUUCCAAUUUCGACGAUUUAACGAACAAGGCAAAACAAAUUUUCGAUGAUGCGAAAGGAGCGCUCGAGAAAUCCGAGUUGAAUGAUGCCCUGGAAAAAGCGAAAUCAUUUAUUGGACAGGCUGGUGAAAAUAUCCGUAAAGAAAUAGAGAAGAUUGCGGAGAAGUUGCGUGAUUAAAUUUGGCCAACGUAAUAAUAAUUUUCUUUAUCCAUUUGCAUCUGUAAUCUCUUUUAAACUUUAAAAAUUACGUUUUUAAUCGAGAUAGUAAUUUUCUUAGAAAUUUGUAGAUUAAUCUUAUAUACAUAUAUAUAUGUAUUUUUUCGUUAUUUCUCAAAUAACACGUAAAGGUUAUAUUUGUUAUUUUGAAUUUUGUAAUUAAGUACUUAUACUUUUCUGGAAAACAAUAUUUAAUUUUGAUACAAAAUUUGAAACAAAGAAAUUAUGUACAAUAUAAGAAAGUCAAGAAUCCGUUAAUGAUUAUUAUAAUACAUAUAUAUAUAUAUAUAUCAUUUUAAUUUUUAAAAAUUUUUAGAAUAAAUCUAGUAGUAAAGAUAAUAUAAAGAUGUAUAAAGAUAUAUAAUAUGA